This 467-nucleotide ribosomal RNA is filed under the name uncultured bacterium. Its description in RNAcentral is "partial 16S ribosomal RNA". It matches the Rfam family "Bacterial small subunit ribosomal RNA", at positions 28 to 506 of the family's 1533-position model. The record is from RNAcentral.
GACGAACGCUGGCGGCGUGCUUAACACAUGCAAGUCGAACGGAAAGGCCCUGCUUUUGUGGGGUGCUCGAGUGGCGAACGGGUGAGUAACACGUGAGUAACCUGCCCUUGACUUUGGGAUAACUUCAGGAAACUGGGGCUAAUACCGGAUAGGAGCUCCUGCUGCAUGGUGGGGGUUGGAAAGUUUCGGCGGUUGGGGAUGGACUCGCGGCUUAUCAGCUUGUUGGUGGGGUAGUGGCUUACCAAGGCUUUGACGGGUAGCCGGCCUGAGAGGGUGACCGGCCACAUUGGGACUGAGAUACGGCCCAGACGCCUACGGGAGGCAGCAGUGGGGAAUAUUGCACAAUGGGCGGAAGCCUGAGGCAGCAACGCCGCGUGCGGGAUGACGGCCUUCGGGUUGUAAACCGCUUUCGCCUGUGACGAGGCGGGAGUGACGGUAAUGGGGAAAGAAGCACCGGCUAACUACGU